RNAcentral lists this ribosomal RNA (124 nucleotides) under Octodon degus (degu). The record is from RNAcentral. Lineage: Eukaryota; Metazoa; Chordata; Mammalia; Rodentia; Octodontidae.
UAUACAGAAAAGUGUGGCAAUGAACGCACCUGAUCUUGUCUAAUCUCUGAAGCUAAGCAGGGUUGGGCCUGGUUAGUACUUGGAUAGGAGAAAAGUUUGGCAAAAUUGAAAGCAUUCUGUAAGA